RNAcentral lists this ribosomal RNA (253 nucleotides) under uncultured prokaryote. RNAcentral's name for it is "partial 16S ribosomal RNA". It matches the Rfam family "Bacterial small subunit ribosomal RNA", at positions 525 to 777 of the family's 1533-position model. The record is from RNAcentral.
ACGUAGGUGGCAAGCGUUGUCCGGAAUUAUUGGGCGUAAAGCGCGCGCAGGCGGUCCUUUAAGUCUGAUGUGAAAGCCCACGGCUUAACCGUGGAGGGUCAUUGGAAACUGGUCGACUUGAGUGCAGAAGAGGGAAGUGGAAUUCCAUGUGUAGCGGUGGAAUGCGUAGAGAUCCGGAAGAACACCGGUGGCGAAGGCGGCCUGCUGGGCAGUGGCUGACACUGAGGCGCGACAGCGUGGGGAGCAAACAGGA